Molecule: ribosomal RNA, 460 nt
Filed under: uncultured bacterium
Lineage: Bacteria
Description: partial 16S ribosomal RNA
Rfam family: Bacterial small subunit ribosomal RNA
Source: RNAcentral
CCUACGGGAGGCAGCAGUGAGGAAUAUUGGUCAAUGGACGAGAGUCUGAACCAGCCAAGUAGCGUGAAGGAUGACUGCCCUAUGGGUUGUAAACUUCUUUUAUAAAGGAAUAAAAUGUGCCACGUGUGGCUUUUUGUAUGUACUUUAUGAAUAAGGAUCGGCUAACUCCGUGCCAGCAGCCGCGGUAAUACGGAGGAUCCGAUCGUUAUCCGGAUUUAUUGGGUUUACAGGGAGCGUAGGUGGGUUGUUAAGUCAGUUGUGAAAGUUUGGGGCUCAACCGUAAAAUUGCAGUUGAUACUGGCAGUCGUGAGUACAGUAGAGGUAGGCGGAAUUCGUGGUGUAGCGGUGAAAUGCUUAGAUAUCACGAAGAACUCCGAUUGCGAAGGCAGCUCACUGGACUGCAACUGACACUGAUGCUCGAAAGUGUGGGUAUCAAACAGGAUUAGAUACCCGAGUAGUC